GUCCUAGAUGCAGCAGCGCAUAUACUAAAAUUGGGACAAUACAGAAAAGAUUAGCACGCUCUCUGUGAAAUAUGACAUGCAAAUUCAUGAAACAUUCCAUAUUUUU
Molecule: small nuclear RNA, 106 nt
Organism: Suncus etruscus (white-toothed pygmy shrew)
Lineage: Eukaryota; Metazoa; Chordata; Mammalia; Eulipotyphla; Soricidae
Source: RefSeq, a predicted model, not a curated record